This 29-nucleotide non-coding RNA is filed under the name Bombyx mori (domestic silkworm). The record is from RNAcentral. Lineage: Eukaryota; Metazoa; Arthropoda; Insecta; Lepidoptera; Bombycidae.
GAGUCUACUCUUGUUUGUUGUCCUAUAGA